RNAcentral lists this ribosomal RNA (976 nucleotides) under uncultured bacterium. Its description in RNAcentral is "bacterial SSU rRNA". It matches the Rfam family "Bacterial small subunit ribosomal RNA", at positions 8 to 1017 of the family's 1533-position model. The record is from RNAcentral.
AGAGUUUGAUCAUGGCUCAGAAUCAACGCUGGCGGCGCGCCUAACACAUGCAAGUCAAACGGGAAAGUGGGCAACCAUGAGUACAGUGGCGUACGGGUGAGUAACACGUGGGUGAUCUACCUCUUAGUGGGGAAUAACCCUGGGAAACCGGGGCUAAUACCGCAUAAGCUCGAGAGAGGAAAGCAGCAAUGCGCUGAGAGAGGAGCCCGCGGCCGAUUAGCUAGUUGGUAGGGUAAAAGCCUACCAAGGCAAAGAUCGGUAGCCGGCCUGAGAGGGCACACGGCCACACUGGCACUGAAACACGGGCCAGACUCCUACGGGAGGCAGCAGUGGGGAAUCUUGCACAAUGGGGGAAACCCUGAUGCAGCGACGCCGCGUGAGCGAUGAAGCCCUUCGGGGUGUAAAGCUCUUUCGGCAGGGAAGAUUAUGACGGUACCUGCAGAAGCAGCUGCGGCUAACUACGUGCCAGCAGCCGCGGUAAUACGUAGGCAGCAAGCGUUGUUCGGAGUUACUGGGCGUAAAGGGUGUGUAGGCGGUUCUUUAAGUUUGGUGUGAAAUCUCCCGGCUCAACCGGGAGGGUGCGCCGAAUACUGAGGGACUUGGAGUGCGGGAGAGGAAAGUGGAAUUCCUGGUGUAGCGGUGAAAUGCGUAGAUAUCAGGAGGAACACCGGUGGUGUAGACGGCUUUCUGGACCGUAACUGACGCUGAGACACGAAAGCGUGGGUAGCAAACAGGAUUAGAUACCCUGGUAGUCCACGCCCUAAACGAUGCAUAUUUGGUGUGGGCAGUUCAUUCUGUCCGUGCCGGAGCUAACGCGUUAAAUAUGCCGCCUGGGGAGUACAGUCGCAAGGCUGAAACUCAAGGAAUUGACGGGGGCCCGCACAAGCGGUGGAGCAUGUGGUUCAAUUCGACGCAACGCGAAGAACCUUACCUGGGCUCGAACGGGUAGUCAACGGCGGUGGAAACAUCGCUACUC